RNAcentral lists this ribosomal RNA (301 nucleotides) under uncultured bacterium. RNAcentral describes it as "partial 16S ribosomal RNA". It matches the Rfam family "Bacterial small subunit ribosomal RNA", at positions 509 to 807 of the family's 1533-position model. The record is from RNAcentral.
CAGUCGCCGCGGGAAAACGGAGGGUGCAAGCGUUAAUCGGAAUUACUGGGCGUAAAGCGCACGCAGGCGGUCUGACAAGUCAGAUGUGAAAUCCCCGGGCUUAACCUGGGAACUGCAUUUGAAACUGUCAGGCUGGAGUCUUGUAGAGGGGGGUAGAAUUCCAGGUGUAGCGGUGAAAUGCGUAGAGAUCUGGAGGAAUACCGGUGGCGAAGGCGGCCCCCUGGACAAAGACUGACGCUCAGGUGCGAAAGCGUGGGGAGCAAACAGGAUUAGAUACCCGAGUAGUCCCUGUCUCUUAUAC